This 203-nucleotide long non-coding RNA is filed under the name Elaeis guineensis (African oil palm). Its description in RNAcentral is "long non-coding RNA (EGUI_LNC007578)". The record is from RNAcentral. Lineage: Eukaryota; Viridiplantae; Streptophyta; Magnoliopsida; Arecales; Arecaceae.
CGAGACAGAGCCUUCAUCUUCUUCCUCCAUCACCGUCGUCGUCGCCAGUAUUACCAUCUUCGCUCAUGGUCUUACCAUCUUUGCUCAUGGCCGGUCUUCCUCCAUCUUUAUCUUCUGUGGCUCUUCUCGUGAGAAGGCAAGAUCCUCUUUCCUUUUUCUUCGAGCACCAAAGCCUCCUCCGACGAUUCCUUCCUUCGACGGCC